This 1554-nucleotide ribosomal RNA is filed under the name Klebsiella pneumoniae. RNAcentral describes it as "bacterial SSU rRNA". It matches the Rfam family "Bacterial small subunit ribosomal RNA". Lineage: Bacteria; Pseudomonadati; Pseudomonadota; Gammaproteobacteria; Enterobacterales; Enterobacteriaceae. The record is from RNAcentral. RNAcentral also lists the same sequence under 2 other names.
ACUUAAAUUGAAGAGUUUGAUCAUGGCUCAGAUUGAACGCUGGCGGCAGGCCUAACACAUGCAAGUCGAGCGGUAGCACAGAGAGCUUGCUCUCGGGUGACGAGCGGCGGACGGGUGAGUAAUGUCUGGGAAACUGCCUGAUGGAGGGGGAUAACUACUGGAAACGGUAGCUAAUACCGCAUAACGUCGCAAGACCAAAGUGGGGGACCUUCGGGCCUCAUGCCAUCAGAUGUGCCCAGAUGGGAUUAGCUAGUAGGUGGGGUAACGGCUCACCUAGGCGACGAUCCCUAGCUGGUCUGAGAGGAUGACCAGCCACACUGGAACUGAGACACGGUCCAGACUCCUACGGGAGGCAGCAGUGGGGAAUAUUGCACAAUGGGCGCAAGCCUGAUGCAGCCAUGCCGCGUGUGUGAAGAAGGCCUUCGGGUUGUAAAGCACUUUCAGCGGGGAGGAAGGCGUUAAGGUUAAUAACCUUGGCGAUUGACGUUACCCGCAGAAGAAGCACCGGCUAACUCCGUGCCAGCAGCCGCGGUAAUACGGAGGGUGCAAGCGUUAAUCGGAAUUACUGGGCGUAAAGCGCACGCAGGCGGUCUGUCAAGUCGGAUGUGAAAUCCCCGGGCUCAACCUGGGAACUGCAUUCGAAACUGGCAGGCUAGAGUCUUGUAGAGGGGGGUAGAAUUCCAGGUGUAGCGGUGAAAUGCGUAGAGAUCUGGAGGAAUACCGGUGGCGAAGGCGGCCCCCUGGACAAAGACUGACGCUCAGGUGCGAAAGCGUGGGGAGCAAACAGGAUUAGAUACCCUGGUAGUCCACGCCGUAAACGAUGUCGAUUUGGAGGUUGUGCCCUUGAGGCGUGGCUUCCGGAGCUAACGCGUUAAAUCGACCGCCUGGGGAGUACGGCCGCAAGGUUAAAACUCAAAUGAAUUGACGGGGGCCCGCACAAGCGGUGGAGCAUGUGGUUUAAUUCGAUGCAACGCGAAGAACCUUACCUGGUCUUGACAUCCACAGAACUUUCCAGAGAUGGAUUGGUGCCUUCGGGAACUGUGAGACAGGUGCUGCAUGGCUGUCGUCAGCUCGUGUUGUGAAAUGUUGGGUUAAGUCCCGCAACGAGCGCAACCCUUAUCCUUUGUUGCCAGCGGUUAGGCCGGGAACUCAAAGGAGACUGCCAGUGAUAAACUGGAGGAAGGUGGGGAUGACGUCAAGUCAUCAUGGCCCUUACGACCAGGGCUACACACGUGCUACAAUGGCAUAUACAAAGAGAAGCGACCUCGCGAGAGCAAGCGGACCUCAUAAAGUAUGUCGUAGUCCGGAUUGGAGUCUGCAACUCGACUCCAUGAAGUCGGAAUCGCUAGUAAUCGUAGAUCAGAAUGCUACGGUGAAUACGUUCCCGGGCCUUGUACACACCGCCCGUCACACCAUGGGAGUGGGUUGCAAAAGAAGUAGGUAGCUUAACCUUCGGGAGGGCGCUUACCACUUUGUGAUUCAUGACUGGGGUGAAGUCGUAACAAGGUAACCGUAGGGGAACCUGCGGUUGGAUCACCUCCUUACCUUAAAGAA